UACGUAGGGCGCAAGCGUUGUCCGGAAUUAUUGGGCGUAAAGAGCUCGUAGGCGGCUUGUCACGUCGGGUGUGAAAGCUCGGGGCUUAACCCCGGGUCUGCAUUCGAUACGGGCAGGCUAGAGUGUGGUAGGGGAGAUCGGAAUUCCUGGUGUAGCGGUGAAAUGCGCAGAUAUCAGGAGGAACACCAAUAGCGAAGGCAGCUCGCUGGGACGGUACUGACGCUAAGGCGCGAAAGCGUGGGGAGCGAACAGG
This 253-nucleotide ribosomal RNA is filed under the name uncultured bacterium. RNAcentral's name for it is "partial 16S ribosomal RNA". It matches the Rfam family "Bacterial small subunit ribosomal RNA", at positions 524 to 776 of the family's 1533-position model. The record is from RNAcentral.